This 544-nucleotide ribosomal RNA is filed under the name uncultured bacterium. Its description in RNAcentral is "bacterial SSU rRNA". It matches the Rfam family "Bacterial small subunit ribosomal RNA", at positions 225 to 783 of the family's 1533-position model. The record is from RNAcentral.
AGCGGUUUAAGUCCUAUCAGCUAGUUGGUGAGGUAACGGCUCACCAAGGCUUUGACGGGUAGCUGGUCUGAGAGGACGACCAGCCACACUGGAACUGAAACACGGUCCAGACUCCUACGGGAGGCAGCAGUUAGGAAUUUUGCGCAAUGGACGAAGGUCUGACGCAGCAACGCCGCGUGAGUGAUGAAGGCCUUCGGGUCGUAAAGCUCUUUUAGUUGGAACGAAAUAAAUGACGGUACCAGCAGAAAAAGCACCGGCUAACCCUGUGCCAGCAGCCGCGGUAAUACAGGGGGCGCAAGCGUUACUCGGAUUUACUGGGCGUAAAGAGCGUGUAGGUGGUUUGUUAAGUCUGAUGUGAAAGCCCUGGGCUUAAUCCAGGAAGUGCAUUGGAUACUGGCAGACUAGAGUACAGGAGGGGUGAGCGGAAUUCCCGGUGUAGAGGUGAAAUUCGUAGAUAUCGGGAGGAACAACAGAGGCGAAGGCGGCUCACUGGACUGUUACUGACACUAAGGCGCGAAAGCGUGGGGAGCAAACAGGAUUAGAU